AUGGUAAAACUGCUGAAAACCAGCUGUAAGUGCAUCCUUGAGCAGCGGGGAGCAUUGAGCUGCUGCUCCCUGGUCGUGGGGAACGGCCCUACGGCUCCUUCACCCGCAGGCUGGUGCUUUCCUGGGGGGCCUGGGUGUAGGAGGGUGAAUCUGUUUCCAUGCAGAUUGUAUUAGGAGGGAAAAGCCAACGCUGAGGCACAGAAACACUUUCGCUUCCCUUCACGCUAAUAAUAGCGCUCAAAGCUGUCAGCGGCGACUGAGCCGCCAGGCUGCCUGUGCCUGCGGUGCGGAGCUGGGGAAACUGAGGCACGGAGAUCCUUAACCUGGUUUGAGGCUGGGUGUGGGAACGGGCUUGUCCCAAGCCGGGCGCUUUCUGCUGGAAUCCACCAGCCUCCGCUGUCCCCUGGCAGUCACCACCGUUUCAGUACUCUCCCCGUUCGUUAAGAACUGAUUAGCCACUCUGCUGCCUCCUUUUCCAAACAGAUCAUCUGUGAUACCUAAUGAAUGACUCCAGCUAUUAAUUGCAGGCACUACCCACCGCGUUGUCACUGCCGGCAGCAGGGACUUUCCUCAGUCCCACCGAGGUCCCGGAGGUGUUACCGUGAUGCAAACACCGAGUACAAGGUUCCUCCUUGAUGUGAGGAAUGAAACGAGGUCAGAACUGGAGGGAGAAAUGUUCAUUUUGAGAUGGAGCUGAGGAUCCAGCUAUUUCCCUCUGACUCUCCAGAGGGGACCGGGGGGUCCCCCAGAUCUCAAGGUGGGCGAGCCAUGGAGCAGAGAAAUGGAAGAUGCUUGAGCUUGUUUCGGGAUACAAGGUUUGCUCUUGUCAUGAGAGUCUCCAGCCUUGGAGUGUUUUACGUUAAGAAGGAAUAACCCCAUCUGCCUCCCCACGAAAAUGCCAGAGCACCCCACCACUGAGGAUGAGCAAGGAGUUGCCAGCCCAGGCCCCUUCCCUCCGCUGCAAAGCACAGGAGCAGGCUGAUGUGCUGCAAAUUACCGAAAAGAUGCAGAGACUUCAGUACAUCCAGCACUAGCGGCUCCAAAGCCAUUCAGUUGACUUCAAACAGCUGCCCGUGCACCAAAUCUGCGCCGCGGCCAGCGGGCCGGGCGAGCAGCUCCGCUCCCCGCCAGCCGGAUGGCAGUGGUUUACUGGUGCACGGUUUGGAUAGCGGCUCUGCAAGGCCGGGGAGCAACUCCCCCGGCAAAGGGCCCAAGGCGUUUGCUCUCCCAGCACAACCGGCCUCCUGCAGCACCGCGUUGCCCUGGGACUGCUCAGGAAUGCAAAAUUAUUGAGGUGCAGGCCCUCAAGGGGGGAAAAACAGCGUUACAAGCGCUAAUUAGGGCUUGUGCGUGCACAGAUGUUCCACUGGUUUAACUUGAACCGGGUUGCGUGCCCAAACGUGGGGCUACAGACAGGAUUAAGGCUGAUUUAAGGUUGCCUACACCCGGCGCUGCUGCACCGAUGCCACGCUGUGCUGUCGGUUCAGCCGCAGCGUUUCACGCACUUCAGGCACGUUUCAGGGAAGAUUUUUCUCCUUUUUGCUUCUAAAAUAAAGGGUGAGGAUCGGAUCUGCCCUGCUGAAGGGACAAUUCUUUAUGUUCAGCCCUCUGCAGCUCCGAGAGUGCGUGUUCCGCUCCCGAAUGCUGCUGUCACCCAAGGGACAGUCGCUCUCGGGGGAUGUCAGAGGACUGUGCCCCACGGUUUGUGGGGCUGGACAUACCCCAAUGGGCACACGCCAGCUCCUGGUGAUCAACCACAGUGCCCAUGGGGAACCCCAAAACCACAAAGCCCAUGAGGAACCCCCAGAUUACAGUGCCUGUGAGGAACCCUGAUUCUGUCACUGCUCACGGUGCUCUGGAGUGGGAGCUCCAGGACUGCAGCGGGGAGG
This is a long non-coding RNA of Columba livia (rock pigeon), 1889 nucleotides long. RefSeq lists it as uncharacterized. The record is from RefSeq and is a predicted model, not a curated record. The transcript is spliced from 3 exons. NCBI's taxonomy places the organism in Eukaryota, Metazoa, Chordata, Aves, Columbiformes, Columbidae.